Long non-coding RNA from Bos taurus (domestic cattle), 384 nucleotides. The record is from Ensembl. Lineage: Eukaryota; Metazoa; Chordata; Mammalia; Artiodactyla; Bovidae.
AUACAGGAAGUCCUGGUGUACUGGAGGUGUGGAUACAGGAGGUCCUGGUGUACUGGAGGUGUGGAUACAGGAGGUCCUGGUGUACUGGAGGUGUGAAUACAGGAAGUCCUGGUGUACUGGAGGUGUGGAUAUAGGAAGUCCUGGUGUACUGGAGGUGUGGAUAUAGGAAGUCCUGGUGUACCGGAGGUGUGGAUAUAGGAAGUCCUGCUGUACUGGAGGCGUGGUAUCCAGGAACUGCUGGUGCACUGGAGGUGUGGAUAUAGGAAGUCCUGGUGUACUGGAGGUGUGGAUAUAGGAAGUCCUGGUGUACUGGAGGUGUGGAUAUAGGAAGUCCUGGUGUACUGGAGGUGUGGAUAUAGGAAGUCCUGGUGUACUGGAGGUGUG